CGGAGGGUGCAAGCGUUAUCCGGAUUCACUGGGUUUAAAGGGUGUGUAGGCGGGCUGUUAAGUCAGUGGUGAAAUCUCCGGGCUCAACCCGGAAACUGCCAUUGAUACUAUCAGUCUUGAAUAUCGUUGAGGUAGGCGGAAUAUAUCAUGUAGCGGUGAAAUGCAUAGAUAUGAUAUAGAACACCAAUUGCGAAGGCAGCUUACUAAACGAUCAUUGACGCUGAGGCACGAAAGCGUGGGGAUCAAACAGGAUUAGAUACCCUGGUAGUCCACGCCCUAAACGAUGAUUACUCGACAUACGCGAUACACAGUGUGUGUCUGAGCGAAAGCAUUAAGUAAUCCACCUGGGAAGUACGUCCGCAAGGAUG
This 368-nucleotide ribosomal RNA is filed under the name uncultured organism. RNAcentral's name for it is "bacterial SSU rRNA". It matches the Rfam family "Bacterial small subunit ribosomal RNA", at positions 526 to 896 of the family's 1533-position model. The record is from RNAcentral.